Molecule: non-coding RNA, 228 nt
Filed under: Propionispora sp.
Lineage: Bacteria; Bacillati; Bacillota; Negativicutes; Selenomonadales; Sporomusaceae
Description: T-box sequence
Rfam family: T-box leader
About the family: Uncharged tRNA acts as the effector for transcription antitermination of genes in the T-box leader family. T-boxes are found upstream of many aminoacyl-tRNA synthetase genes and some amino acid biosynthetic genes usually in Gram-positive bacteria.
Source: RNAcentral
CAAAUGGCAAUGACCGGGAUUAGUAGAGGUUUAUUAUGUUUUCAGAGAGCCGGAGGUUGGUGCGAUUCGGUAAAUGGUAAACUUUGAACUCACCUGUGAGCUGCAGCCCGAUAAGGUAGGGUGUGCCGGAGUUCCACCGUUACAGGGAUAGAUGGUGUUAGCCGUCGAAAAAGAGGGUUCUUAACUGAACCAAUUAGAGUGGUACCACGAGUUUACCCCGUCUCUAUA